UACAGAGGGUGCAAGCGUUAAUCGGAAUUACUGGGCGUAAAGCGUGCGUAGACGGUCAUGUAAGUCGGGUGUGAAAGCCCCGGGCUCAACCUGGGAAUUGCAUUCGAGACUGCAUGGCUAGGAUGCGGAAGAGGGAAGCGGAAUUUCCGGUGUAGCGGUGAAAUGCGUAGAUAUCGGAAGGAACACCAGUGGCGAAAGCGGGUCUCUGGGCCGUAACUGACGCUGAGGAGCGAAAGCGUGGGGAGCAAACAGG
Molecule: ribosomal RNA, 253 nt
Filed under: uncultured bacterium
Lineage: Bacteria
Description: partial 16S ribosomal RNA
Rfam family: Bacterial small subunit ribosomal RNA
Source: RNAcentral